Molecule: non-coding RNA, 98 nt
Organism: Xylariaceae sp. FL0016
Lineage: Eukaryota; Fungi; Ascomycota; Sordariomycetes; Xylariales; Xylariaceae
Source: the annotation of a GenBank genome assembly
GGUCUGUUAGCUCAGUUGGUUAGAGCGUCGUACUAAUAUUUCUUCUCCGGAAAUAUCAUGUAAUGCGAAGGUCAUGAGUUCGACCCUCAUACGGACCA